AACGAACGCUGGCGGCGUGCCUAACACAUGCAAGUCGAGCGGGAAAGUUCCCUUCGGGGAGCGAGUACAGCGGCGAACGGGUGAGUAACACGUAGGUAACCUACCCUUGAGACUGGGAUAACCUGCCGAAAGGCGGGCUAAUACUGGAUAAGACCGUGAGGGCUGCGGCCCGUUGGGGUAAAGGUGGCCUCUGCUUGCAAGCUACCACUUGAGGAUGGGCCUGCGCGCCAUUAGCUAGUUGGGAGGUAACGGCUCACCAAGGCUGGGAUGGCUAGCUGGUCUGAGAGGAUGGCCAGCCACACUGGGACUGAGACACGGCCCAGACUCCUACGGGAGGCAGCAGUGGGGAAUAUUGCGCAAUGGGCGAAAGCCUGACGCAGCGACGCCGCGUGGGUGAUGAAGGCC
Molecule: ribosomal RNA, 405 nt
Filed under: uncultured bacterium
Lineage: Bacteria
Description: bacterial SSU rRNA
Rfam family: Bacterial small subunit ribosomal RNA
Source: RNAcentral